CGUUACGGCAGUUGUGCGUGGGAGGCCUUCGGGUCUGCCGGUUUUCGAUCCCGGUUCGCCAACCUGCGUACAACUGCCACCUAA
Molecule: non-coding RNA, 84 nt
Filed under: Pseudomonas brassicacearum
Lineage: Bacteria; Pseudomonadati; Pseudomonadota; Gammaproteobacteria; Pseudomonadales; Pseudomonadaceae
Source: RNAcentral